UGGGGAAUAUUGCACAAUGGGCGCAAGCCUGAUGCAGCCAUGCCGCGUGUAUGAAGAAGGCCUUCGGGUUGUAAAGUACUUUCAGCGGGGAGGAAGGUGUUGAGGUUAAUAACCUCAGCAAUUGACGUUACCCGCAGAAGAAGCACCGGCUAACUCCGUGCCAGCAGCCGCGGUAAUACGGAGGGUGCAAGCGUUACUCGGAAUUACUGGGCGUAAAGCGCACGCAGGCGGUCUGUCAAGUCGGAUGUGAAAUCCCCGGGCUCAACCUGGGAACUGCAUUCGAAACUGGCAGGCUAGAGUCUUGUAGAGGGGGGUAGAAUUCCAGGUGUAGCGGUGAAAUGCGUAGAGAUCUGGAGGAAUACCGGUGGCGAAGGCGGCCCCCUGGACAAAGACUGACGCUCAGGUGCGAAAGCGUGGGGAGCAAACA
Molecule: ribosomal RNA, 427 nt
Filed under: uncultured bacterium
Lineage: Bacteria
Description: partial 16S ribosomal RNA
Rfam family: Bacterial small subunit ribosomal RNA
Source: RNAcentral